UGUAAACGUUAAAUGUUUUUUUUUUACAAAAAUGAAGGAAACCAAAUUGAAAAAGACCAGGUUUUUUUUUCAAUUGUUCCAUUGUGCACAUAGUUCAUCUCGAAUUGACUACAGCUAAAGCUGCAAUAAAAAGUAAAACGUAGUUCCCUGUCAGUUCUUUGGAAAUCCUUUUAUAUCAUUUAAUUGAUAGCUGAAGGUAAAAUAUGGGAGUGAAAAAGGUAAUUUAUUGACCUUUCUUUAACUUAAAGAACUAUCCACAGCAAUUCUAAUUACGUCAUAACAUUUUUACAAUUAAAGUUAACUUAUAGUUAUGACUGGCAAGAGGAAAAGGGGAAGACCUAAAGAAACAUGGAGAAGAACAGUGGAAAGCGAGAU
Molecule: long non-coding RNA, 375 nt
Filed under: Mytilus galloprovincialis (Mediterranean mussel)
Lineage: Eukaryota; Metazoa; Mollusca; Bivalvia; Mytilida; Mytilidae
Source: RNAcentral